RNAcentral lists this ribosomal RNA (563 nucleotides) under uncultured Clostridia bacterium. RNAcentral describes it as "bacterial SSU rRNA". It matches the Rfam family "Bacterial small subunit ribosomal RNA", at positions 12 to 519 of the family's 1533-position model. Lineage: Bacteria; Bacillati; Bacillota; Clostridia. The record is from RNAcentral.
UUUGAUCAUGGCUCAGGAUGAACGCUGGCGGCGUGCCUAACACAUGCAAGUCGAACGGUUCUAGGGACUGGGAACUAGGGACUAGAGAGAGUGAGAAAAGCAGGAAAACUGUUUUUUUUAUCAUCUAGCAACUAGUUCCUAGCCUCUAGAAUAGUGGCGGACGGGUGAGUAACGCGUGGGUAACCAACCGUAUAGAGGGGGAUAACGGCUAGAAAUAGCCGCUAAUACCGCAUAGACCGAUAAUAUCGCAUGGUAUAGUCGGUAAAGGAGCAAUCCGCUGUACGACGGACCCGCGUCUGAUUAGCUAGUUGGAGAGGUAACGGCUCACCAAGGCAACGAUCAGUAGCCGACCUGAGAGGGUGAUCGGCCACAUUGGGACUGAGACACGGCCCAAACUCCUACGGGAGGCAGCAGUGGGGAAUAUUGCACAAUGGGGGAAACCCUGAUGCAGCAACGCCGCGUGAAGGAAGAAGUAUUUCGGUACGUAAACUUCAGACGCUGAUGAAGAAAAAAAUGACGGUAAUCAGGCCGGAGCCCCGGCUAACUACGUGCCAGCAGCCGCG